RNAcentral lists this transfer-messenger RNA (191 nucleotides) under Alistipes sp. RNAcentral describes it as "partial transfer-messenger RNA". It matches the Rfam family "transfer-messenger RNA", at positions 175 to 374 of the family's 374-position model. Rfam says of the family: Bacterial tmRNA, also known as 10Sa RNA or SsrA, is named for its dual tRNA and mRNA-like properties. The record is from RNAcentral. Lineage: Bacteria; Pseudomonadati; Bacteroidota; Bacteroidia; Bacteroidales; Rikenellaceae.
AUACGGGGUAUCAUCGAUUCGGAGAUAGUGCGCCGGAGCGUUCCGGCCGGUGCGCGAAAUUCAAGGAACUGGGAUCCGGGUUCGGCCGUCGCCUGCCAGACCCGGAUAGAAGGAUCAAACGGCGACUAAGCGUGUAGAAAGCUUUCGGGUUCCCUGUUUGGACGCGGGUUCGACUCCCGCCACCUCCACUU